RNAcentral lists this ribosomal RNA (673 nucleotides) under uncultured bacterium. Its description in RNAcentral is "bacterial SSU rRNA". It matches the Rfam family "Bacterial small subunit ribosomal RNA", at positions 79 to 748 of the family's 1533-position model. The record is from RNAcentral.
CUUGCUUCUCUUGAGAGCGGCGGACGGGUGAGUAAUGCCUAGGAAUCUGCCUGGUAGUGGGGGAUAACGUUCGGAAACGGACGCUAAUACCGCAUACGUCCUACGGGAGAAAGCAGGGGACCUUCGGGCCUUGCGCUAUCAGAUGAGCCUAGGUCGGAUUAGCUAGUUGGUGAGGUAAUGGCUCACCAAGGCGACGAUCCGUAACUGGUCUGAGAGGAUGAUCAGUCACACUGGAACUGAGACACGGUCCAGACUCCUACGGGAGGCAGCAGUGGGGAAUAUUGGACAAUGGGCGAAAGCCUGAUCCAGCCAUGCCGCGUGUGUGAAGAAGGUCUUCGGAUUGUAAAGCACUUUAAGUUGGGAGGAAGGGCAGUAAAUUAAUACUUUGCUGUUUUGACGUUACCGACAGAAUAAGCACCGGCUAACUCUGUGCCAGCAGCCGCGGUAAUACAGAGGGUGCAAGCGUUAAUCGGAAUUACUGGGCGUAAAGCGCGCGUAGGUGGUUCGUUAAGUUGGAUGUGAAAUCCCCGGGCUCAACCUGGGAACUGCAUUCAAAACUGACGAGCUAGAGUAUGGUAGAGGGUGGUGGAAUUUCCUGUGUAGCGGUGAAAUGCGUAGAUAUAGGAAGGAACACCAGUGGCGAAAGCGACCACCUGGACUGAUACUGACACUG